RNAcentral lists this ribosomal RNA (393 nucleotides) under uncultured bacterium. Its description in RNAcentral is "partial 16S ribosomal RNA". It matches the Rfam family "Bacterial small subunit ribosomal RNA", at positions 523 to 918 of the family's 1533-position model. The record is from RNAcentral.
AUACGGAGGAUCCGAGCGUUAUCCGGAUUUAUUGGGUUUAAAGGGUGCGCAGGCGGGAGAUUAAGUCGGCGGUGAAAUUUUGCAGAUCAAAUGUAAAAGUGCCUUCGAAACUGGUUUCCUUGAGUGUAGAUGAAGUAGGCGGAAUUUGUGGUGUAGCGGUGAAAUGCAUAGAUAUCACGAGGAACUCCGAUUGCGCAGGCAGCUUACUAAACUACUACUGACGCUCAGGCACGAAGGCGUGGGGAUCAAACAGGAUUAGAUACCCUGGUAGUCCACGCAGUAAACGAUGAUUACUCGCUGUUUGCGAUACAAUGUAAGCGGCUAAGCGAAAGCAUUAAGUAAUCCACCUGGGGAGUACGUUCGCAAGAAUGAAACUCAAAUGAAUUGGCGGGG